This 490-nucleotide ribosomal RNA is filed under the name uncultured bacterium. Its description in RNAcentral is "partial 16S ribosomal RNA". It matches the Rfam family "Bacterial small subunit ribosomal RNA", at positions 30 to 507 of the family's 1533-position model. The record is from RNAcentral.
AUUGAACGCUGGCGGCAGGCCUAACACAUGCAAGUCGAACGGUAACAGGAAGCAGCUUGCUGCUUUGCUGACGAGUGGCGGACGGGUGAGUAAUGUCUGGGAAACUGCCCGAUGGAGGGGGAUAACUACUGGAAACGGUAGCUAAUACCGCAUAACGUCGCAAGACCAAAGAGGGGGACCUUAGGGCCUCUUGCCAUCGGAUGUGCCCAGAUGGGAUUAGCUAGUAGGUGGGGUAACGGCUCACCUAGGCGACGAUCCCUAGCUGGUCUGAGAGGAUGACCAGCCACACUGGAACUGAGACACGGUCCAGACUCCUACGGGAGGCAGCAGUGUGGAAUAUUGCACAAUGGGCGCAAGCCUGAUGCAGCCAUGCCGCGUGUAUGAAGAAGGCCUUCGGGUUGUAAAGUACUUUCAGCGGGGAGGAAGGGAGUAAAGUUAAUACCUUUGCUCAUUGACGUUACCCGCAGAAGAAGCACCGGCUAACUCCGUG